Molecule: ribosomal RNA, 435 nt
Filed under: uncultured bacterium
Lineage: Bacteria
Description: bacterial SSU rRNA
Rfam family: Bacterial small subunit ribosomal RNA
Source: RNAcentral
ACGGGAGGCAGCAGUCGGGAAUAUUGCGCAAUGGAGGAAACUCUGACGCAGUGACGCCGCGUAUAGGAAGAAGGUUUUCGGAUUGUAAACUAUUGUCGUUAGGGAAGAAAAAGGACAGUACCUAAGGAGGAAGCUCCGGCUAACUACGUGCCAGCAGCCGCGGUAAUACGUAGGGAGCGAGCGUUAUCCGGAUUUAUUGGGUGUAAAGGGUGCGUGGACGGGCUUAUAAGUUAGUUGUGAGAUCCCUCGGCUUAACUGAGGAACUGCAACUAAAACUGUAAGUCUUGAGUGCAGGAGAGGUAAGUGGAAUUCCUAGUGUAGCGGUGAAAUGCGUAGAUAUUAGGAGGAACACCAGUGGCGAAGGCGACUUACUGGACUGUAACUGACGUUGAGGCACGAAAGUGUGUGGAGCAAACAGGAUUAGAUACCCUGGUA